RNAcentral lists this transfer RNA (58 nucleotides) under Cricetulus griseus (Chinese hamster). It matches the Rfam family "tRNA", at positions 8 to 63 of the family's 71-position model. From Rfam's summary of the family: Transfer RNA (tRNA) molecules are approximately 80 nucleotides in length. Lineage: Eukaryota; Metazoa; Chordata; Mammalia; Rodentia; Cricetidae. The record is from Rfam by way of RNAcentral.
UGGCUCAGUGGUUAAGAGCACUGGCUGCUCUUCCAGAUGACCUGGGUUCAAUUCCCAG